Molecule: unclassified non-coding RNA, 272 nt
Filed under: Hevea brasiliensis (rubber tree)
Lineage: Eukaryota; Viridiplantae; Streptophyta; Magnoliopsida; Malpighiales; Euphorbiaceae
Source: RNAcentral
AAGCCUUCACUUCUGUGAUGCUUAAUUCUGCCCAAUCCAACUCUAUCCUUAUGAAAACUAAGCCUCACCCCCCCAUCAACAUUCUAUCUCAACAACUCAACCAAAUCCAUCUUAACUGUCUCAAAACGUAUUAAUUGGUCCAUUAUGGUUUAUUUUAUUUGGAUUGGGUUUAAUUAGUUUUAAUUUGAGGGAUUAGAAGUGCUAACUUGGCACCUCUAUUAGCUUUUAACGAGCAAGUAAUAGUGGGAUUCAAUUGUAGUGAAUUUCAAAAU